Molecule: ribosomal RNA, 304 nt
Filed under: uncultured bacterium
Lineage: Bacteria
Description: bacterial SSU rRNA
Rfam family: Bacterial small subunit ribosomal RNA
Source: RNAcentral
CGAAUAGGCUUUUGAUUUGACGUUACCCAAAAAAAUAAGCACCGGCUAACUCUGUGCCAGCAGCCGCGGUAAUACAGAGGGUGCGAGCGUUAAUCGGAAUUACUGGGCGUAAAGGGCGCGUAGGCGGUUAUGUAAGUUAGAUGUGAAAUCCCCGGGCUUAACCUGGGAAUGGCAUUUAAUACUGUAUGACUAGAGUAGAGUAGAGGGAAGUGGAAUUUCCGGUGUAGCGGUGAAAUGCGUAGAUAUCGGAAAGAACACCAGUGGCGAAGGCGGCUUCCUGGACUCAUACUGACGUGAGCGCGAA